Molecule: RNA transcript, 5115 nt
Organism: Xyrauchen texanus (razorback sucker)
Lineage: Eukaryota; Metazoa; Chordata; Actinopteri; Cypriniformes; Catostomidae
Gene name: zinc finger protein 449-like
Exons: 5
Source: RefSeq, a predicted model, not a curated record
UAACUGUUCGUUUCGAGACAGACAGCUGUUUAGGAGGACUUCUGUAUAUUUAACACUAUUUUGGGGGGUGGGAAGAGGAAGAAUGAAAGAGGCCUUCCAACGGAGUGGUCGUAAACAUGAACGGUGCACUUUACAUUUCGUUUUUCCAAGGCCAGCUGGAAUCCGCACUGGAGCAGGUAGUGCACCUCGCCGUUCAGGAAAUCACCAAGACUGCUGGGGCCACUUUGAAUUCAAUGUUACUGGAAACGUCCACCAAAGAGCAGGAAAAUCUGCGUUUGAGGGCGACCCUUCAGUCCCGGGAGCUGAAGUACGUAGGCAAAGGGAAAGGCAAUGCCUCUAAGGGACGAAAAGGCACGAGCGAUGGAACAAAGCAACGCACCCCCAGUCUGAGCACUGAAUGUCGCGUGCAGUCUGAGACGCUCAGGCGUGAACAGAAAGGGCGAGCAGUUGGUCAGUUAAAAGCUGUUAUGGAACACGUGCUGGAAAUCGCUGUUUGUGAGCUGACCAAAAUUGUGGAAGAUAGCUUUGACGACUUGCUCGUGGAGUUCACCAAGAAAGAGCGGGAAAACCAGAUACUGAAAGAGCAGCUACAGGACGAGAACAAAUUGGAGGACAAUGAGGUGGUUGCUGCGGAAACGGAAGACUGUGAAAACGACUCUGACUCUCCGAGCAGUUCCAAAGUGGAAAGGCAAGAGUCACAAGGCGUGCCGGACCAAUCAUCACCCCAAGAAGCAUGGGGAAAGGAACAGAUGGAAACUACCAAUGAAGCAGACAAGCAGACUGUCAUUGCAGUGGCCCAGGACUGGGUACCCAUACUAGAUAAAGUCUUUGGGCAAAAGUGGUGCAGCGACCUCUUUCAGAUCAAAGAGGUCACGACCAGUGAGGAGGAAUCCACUGGGCUUGGUUCAGGGCCGAUGAGCGACAUGAACAGUUUAAUUCGGGAGACUCUCAUGCCAUCUUGCCUGGCCUCUCAGAGGAAGCUGGAGCUUGAGGUGGGGCAGCUGCCAUGGUUGCAGGCAGAAGAUAUGGAGGUUGUUUCUCUCUCCUCGGACACAAAAGGGAUUCCUGUUGUCAGUUUCACAGGCGAUGAUUCUCUAAUCAGAUCUCCAUCGAUGUUGCAAAGACUCUUGACUCUCCCAUCCCAGUUGCUUGAGGAUGAUGAGGAGUCCAUGGAUGGUACUCCCAGUCUGGAAGUGUCCCUGGAUCCGUCAGAUUCACAAGUCAGCAAAGGACCAAAGAGUGAUCAGAUCCCAGCAAAUGAGAAUAAAGAACAGAAGAACCUGGAAGAGGAGGAUGAUGAAGACGAGACAAGUGCUCAUGAAUUGGAUGGCCGCGAAUCCUCAAAACACAAAGGUAGGAGGAAGUCCCAUGCUUGCGCAGAGUGUGGCAGCAAGUUCAGCCGUGUGCAUCUUCUCAAAGCCCACCAGCAAACCCAUGAGGAGAUGCCCAAUCAAUGUCCACAGUGUGGAAAGAGAUUUUCCCAGUCGUCAAAGCUCCAAGCGCACUUACAAAUGCACACAGGCAAAACUAUAUGAAGAAAUGUAGAUGAGAGGGGAACAAAUUCAAAAGGGAAAUUAUGAAUGGAACAGUGAUGGAUAGAUGUUUCCCAGUAUUUGUUGUUUAUAUAAGUGGUUCAGCUAAAUCAUGAGCAGAAUUCAAUUCAGGUCUGUCAGAUUUGCUUCGAUUUCAGAAUUUGAUGGUUUAAGGCUUUCAACUUGAUUCAUGAAGCUUUGAAAUUAAUAAAAAUUUCCGAUGAAGGAAAUCUACUUCACAUUGUAGCCCUCUUUCUCAUUUGAAGGUACUCUUAGGGAAAAUAAAAAAUUAUUUGUUAUCCUUCAACUUUUAUUGAAAUAAAUGCCAAUAACUACAAGCUGUGUAUAUCCAAAUUGGGUACAUAGACCAUCACAAUAAGAAGUUCUUUGGGCAACUAAUUUCACAAUACAAAUUUUAAAAGGUUUUAAAACUUUGUAAAUAUUUAAAAGCGAUGCAUAAAACUGAAUGUGAAUUUCAUCAAUCUAGUCAGUGACUGUCGCUAAGACAUCCUAAAGGGAAAGAUAAAAGAGUGAGCAGCAAAUAGUAGACAAUGCCUGAACUCAUUGUGGGUCCCUUGCCUCAUGUUGGUCUUAUAUUUCUUUCUACAAAUCUUCUGAAUAAGAUAAAAAUAAACCAGAGAUUAUAGAAUAUUUCUUCCACUAUCAAAUCUACCAUUUCUGACGGUCUUCACUGACGUAGAACUCAACAUGAAAUACCUCUUCAAAAAUAUUCUUACAGAUGUCAUAUUGGAUUCUUUUUGAUAAUUAAGAUGUCAAUCCAACAAGAUGUUACAGGGUGGCUUACAUCUUUUGACUUGAACUUUAACACCGUAAACAUGAAUCAUUGUACGAUGUAAACCGCAAGGGAGAAAUCUUAAUGUGGCAUGGAGAGUGUGGAUGAACAGUUACAGAAGGAGGACACCUUAAUUGUUGUGACUGAAGUUAUGACCAUGUCAUGAGAACUUUACAUUGGAAUGGUUAUUGGAAAGAAACUUCUAAAUGAUUGCACCCGACUUGUGUGCCCUUCAGUUUCAUUGACUUGAAAAUGGGGGUUGAUGAUGGGGGAUUGGAGAUCACAUACUUUUUCUAGGUUCCCCAUCAGUAUUCUCUUCUAGAGUAGGGUCUUCCUAUUGUGUAGUGUAUGAGUGUAAAUACAAGGCUAUAUCUUGAACUUAAUGUUAAGCAGAAAUGUUAAGUUUCCUCUUGUGAAGAUAUGGGAUUCUCAGUAUCAGUGGUUCAAAAUAUACUGUAUGUGGAAAUCCACUUGAAUAUAUGGAGUCUUCCUCAGGGAAGGCACUGUUGUCUUUUUCCACAGCUGUAGAUGGACCCUACACAUUUGAUUUACGCCCUGCAUCAAAGGGAGUCCCACAUUACACACAUUCCCACUUACUGACUCGUAAAGUCACCAAAGUUUUCUGUCAAUAAUAAGCAUGAUUGAAAAGUACAUGGUUACAGUUACUUUUUGGAUCAAUACCUCAUCGCUGGGACCGCGUCAUAUUUUUGGACUUCUGCAAUAUCAGGAGUAAGGUCCUGGUCAGAAACGUUUACAAUAAUGAAUUUCAGAAUGGAAUAGGUCUGGCGUAUCUGUUUGCCCACUUAUUCUUCAAUUUUGCAUUUUUAUUGUUAUAUAAAUGUGGAUUCUUUUGUUUUAAACUACCUGUUUGGUACCUGAAGGUACCAAGAGUUUGUGACCCAAAGAUAAAAAUGAAAGGAAACCUUUUUAGACCACACAUACUCUUACAGAAUGCAGUUUUUUGUUUUUGUGUUAUGGGCCAAUUUAAAUGAACCCUAAACCCAAACUGCUGUCCAAAUGUAUUGAGUAUUGAGGUAUAAUGAAUAUGGAAAACAGAACAUACACUGUAAUUUUGUUAAGUGCAUCAUCUGUUGCUAGUGCCUAGAAUUAACUGUUUAAUAAGCUUAUCUUUUAAAUGGUUGGCUUGGGAAUUCGUUGUUUAGCAUGCUUAAGGCUAGGGUACUCUUGGUUUUUCCACAUGCCAUUCUGUCUCGCAUACUCAAGCCCAAAGUAUACUACUAUUUUAACAUAUGCGUUCAAUCGAAUGGUCUAGUUUUUCAAAGUAAACUUCAUCUGACCUCAACUGACACAAGCAGUCUAUUCAUAGUCACUACGACUGCUAUGUGAUGCUGGACUAUUUCUCUUCUGUAGUUUAGACCAGUAAAGAUUUCUUCUAGUCUUUCGGGUUGAUUUUGGAAUGACAUGCUACAGCCGUGGCCAAAAGUAUUGACUGACAUAAAUUUUGUGUUUCGCAAAGUUUUCUGCUUCAGUUGUUGUGGUGUUGAUUCACAUUGUUUCUAGAUUAUUGUGCAGAGUGAAAAUACGCAUUUUAAAUAAUUGCGAAAAGCUUCAUUGGCCAAAAGUGAACUUUAUCACAAAAACCCAAAUGUUUUUUGGUCCUGGCACAAAAUGACCAGCCAACAUCAUUUCACUAAUAAUAUCAGCAGCACCUGGGAAAGUGUGAACGAUACUAGUCAGGUGAAAUCACUCUAUCAUUCUGAAUGGAUUAUAAGAGCUGACUGAUUGCUAAAAAAGGAGGGAAGAAGUGCUUCCAAUCAUUGUGUUCUUGUUGGCCUCGCAUGCAAGGAAAUUGCUGCAAAGAAUAUUGCACCUGUAAGAACCAUUUACCAGAUCAUCAAGAACUUCAAGGAGAGAGGAUCUGUUGCAGUGAAGAAGGUUUCAGGACGUCCCACUGUGUCCAGCAAGUGCCAGGACCGUCUCCUACUGAGGAUUCAGCUAAGCAAUCGUGUCACCACCAGUGCAGAACAUUCUCAAUAUUGGCAGCAGGUUGGUGUGAGUGCAUCUGCACGCACAAUGAGGCGAAGACUUUUGGACAAUGGCAUGGUGUCAAGAAGGGCAGCAAAGAAGCCACUUCUCUCCAAAAAAACAUCAAGGACCGACUGAAAUUCUGCAGGAAGUACAAGGAUUGGACAGCAGAAGACUGGUGCGAAGUUAAUUUCUCUGAUGAAGCCCCCUUCCAACUGUUUGGGACAUCUGGAACAUUUAUAGUCCAUAGAAAAAAAGGUGAACACUACCAUGAGUCCUGUGUCAUGCCAACAGAGACCAUCCAUGUGUGGGGUUGAUUUUCAUCCAAGGGAGUGGGCCCUCUCACAAUUCUGCCCAAAAACACUGCUAUGAAUAAAGAAUGGUAUCAAAACGUCCUGCAAGAGCAACUUCUCCCAACGAUCCAGGAGCAAUUUGGUGAUGAUCCGUGCAUUUUCCAGCAUGAUGGAUCAUCAUGUCACAAGGCAAGAGUGAUAAUGAAGUGGCUCGAAGAUCAUUACAUUUUAAAUUUUGGAUCCGUGUCCAGGCAACUCCCCGGAUCUUAAUCCCAUAGAGAACCUGUGGUCAAUCCUCAAAAGGCGUGUGGACAAGCAGAAGCCCACAAAUUGUGCUCAACUCCGAGCACUAAUAAGUCAAGAAUGGAUCGCCAUCAGUCAGGAUUUGGCCCAGAAGCUGAUAUCCAGCAUGCCAGAGCGAAUUGCAGAGGUUAUGAAGAACAAGGGUCAACACUGUAAAUAUUGACUCUUUGCAUAAAUUGAAUGUUUUUGUCAAUAAAAGCCUUUAAAA